RNAcentral lists this non-coding RNA (24 nucleotides) under Arabidopsis thaliana (thale cress). Lineage: Eukaryota; Viridiplantae; Streptophyta; Magnoliopsida; Brassicales; Brassicaceae. The record is from RNAcentral.
CCGGAGUCGGCAGGAUUUCCUUGA